This 422-nucleotide ribosomal RNA is filed under the name uncultured bacterium. RNAcentral's name for it is "partial 16S ribosomal RNA". It matches the Rfam family "Bacterial small subunit ribosomal RNA", at positions 360 to 774 of the family's 1533-position model. The record is from RNAcentral.
AAUUUUGGACAAUGGGGGAAACCCUGAUCCAGCCAUCCCGCGUGUAUGAUGAAGUCCUUCGGGUUGUACAGCAUUUUUGGCAGGGCAGAAAACGCUCUGGUUAAUACCUGGAGCUGCUGAAGGUACCUGCAGACUAAGCACCGGCUAACUACGUUCCAGCAGCCGAGGUAAGACGUAGGGUGCAAGCGUUAAUCGGAAUUACUGGGCGUAAAGCGUGCGCAGGCGGUUUGGCAAGAAGGAUGUGAAAUCCCAGGGCUUAACCUUGGAACUGCAUUCUUAACUGCCAGGCUAGAGUAUGUCAGAGGGGGGUAGAAUUCCGCGUGUAGCAGUGAAAUGCGUAGAUAUGUGGAGGAAUACCGAUGGCGAAGGCAGCCCCCUGGGAUAAUACUGACGCUCAGACACGAAAGCGUGGGGAGCAAACA